UGGGAUGUAGCCAAGUGGUAAGGCAUCGGAUUUUGAUUCCGUGAUGCGCAGGUUCGAAUCCUGCCAUCCCAGCCA
Molecule: transfer RNA, 75 nt
Filed under: Salibacterium salarium
Lineage: Bacteria; Bacillati; Bacillota; Bacilli; Caryophanales; Bacillaceae
Description: Bacillus salarius tRNA-Gln
Rfam family: tRNA
About the family: Transfer RNA (tRNA) molecules are approximately 80 nucleotides in length. Their secondary structure includes four short double-helical elements and three loops (D, anti-codon, and T loops).
Source: RNAcentral